This 397-nucleotide ribosomal RNA is filed under the name uncultured bacterium. Its description in RNAcentral is "bacterial SSU rRNA". It matches the Rfam family "Bacterial small subunit ribosomal RNA", at positions 148 to 561 of the family's 1533-position model. The record is from RNAcentral.
AGUUGGAAACGACUGCUAAUACCGCAUAAGCCCACGGCUCGGCAUCGAGCAGAGGGAAAAGGAGCAAUCCGCUUUGAGAUGGCCUCGCGUCCGAUUAGCUAGUUGGUGAGGUAACGGCCCACCAAGGCGACGAUCGGUAGCCGGACUGAGAGGUUGAACGGCCACAUUGGGACUGAGACACGGCCCAGACUCCUACGGGAGGCAGCAGUGGGGAAUAUUGCACAAUGGGGGAAACCCUGAUGCAGCGACGCCGCGUGGAGGAAGAAGGUCUUCGGAUUGUAAACUCCUGUUGUUGAGGAAGAUAAUGACGGUACUCAACAAGGAAGUGACGGCUAACUACGUGCCAGCAGCCGCGGUAAAACGUAGGUCACAAGCGUUGUCCGGAAUUACUGGGUGU